This 573-nucleotide long non-coding RNA is filed under the name Triticum aestivum (bread wheat). RNAcentral describes it as "long non-coding RNA (TAES_LNC018548)". Lineage: Eukaryota; Viridiplantae; Streptophyta; Magnoliopsida; Poales; Poaceae. The record is from RNAcentral.
CGAGCAACGCCGGAGCUCCGGCCUGGCUGCUCCUUCCCCAUGCCCGUCCUACUCAUCCUCCCGUGCUUCUCCACACCAAGCAUGAAGACCACACCAGCCAGGCUCUCUUAUGGCGACGACCUGCGCCCGAUACAGAAUCACGAUAUGUGGCGGCGCCGGAUCGAGAACGCGGGGAGACACUGUCCUGUGGGGAAGAGAAAGAGGAUAACAUGGUAUAAAAUAAAGUAGUCAUUUUUCAUGUAGUGAAACUUUAGUUUUGGGCAAGAUGAUCAAAAAUAAAAAUAUAACUAACGCAACAGGAGAACCACAUAUGGAGGCACUCAAGUGGACAGACACAACAGUUCAAACAAACCCAAAAAUAUCUCAUUGUUCACCUUAAACCUUCGGAGGUUUAAACUGCUAGUUGAACUGAAAGGCACCGUUGCUAGGUGACAAAAAAAUCAGUACGCUCUGCAGUAAUUUGAUAUGAUAAAAACCAGUUGGAUAAAGACCAAAUAAAGUUAUUACCUAGCGAAGUUAGGGCUGCCAUAAAAAUCUGAACAGUUCCAUAAGUGGUCUCUUGAUAUUAUAUGA